UGGGGCUUGGAGCAAACGUUGCCGCAGAGCCCUGAACAGUAAGAGCUUUUAAACAGCUGUUCGCAGAGCCCUGGACGGUCAGACUCGAGGGAGCAGCUCCGGCUGUGAUCGCCGAGUGCGAAGGGGUUCAGAGGAGUUUGGGCCCCUCGCGGCCUCCCCAAACCCAGGGUCUAGGUUCGGGUCCCGGGGUGCACGGCUGGGGGGCGCCGAGGCGUGGUCGUUCGCUGAGGUCUGGACCCUUGUGGCUCCCCGUAGGGCCUGGGGUUCGGCGUAGCUUGGCCUCCUCCCAGCUCUGGGACAGGCCGGACACCCCGCCUCCAACCUCCCGGACACCCGCCACUCAAGAUCUGCGCAGCUCGACUCCGACGCAGGGCGGGUACCGAGCCCGCGGACAGAGCCGGGCAGUGUCGCCACCAAGGGUCAAUUAUUCAUGGGGCGCCUGGGCGUGCUCCCAAGACCAGCUCUGUCCUCGGCUUCUCCGGAGGACUGGAGACAACACGGGGGAAAAGUUCCCAGAGCAAAGUUGGCCACAUUUCUGAUUUUCCCAACUUCCUGAACUGAAGUGACUAACCGUGUCCAGUAAAUAACUUAGACCCAGUUUCCUGCCUUAUGAAAAUAGAGGUAGUCGAAGUUGGGUGCGAUGCUACAUACCUUUAACCCCAACGCCGUGGGACGCAAUCAGAUGCCCAGGCUCACGUGAUGUACAUCUGCGGCUGAGUCAACCACCGAUCUCAUCUCUAUGACAGAGAUGCAAAUACCUGCUUCCGGGUGCACAGCGAGGCCCGAAAGAGCCCAUACCUUUUGUGCCAUUUGACGCAUGAGCACCAGCAGUACAUGGUUCUUCUCUGGUCUGUGGAGCCGACCUUGAACUCCUGAUCCUCCUGACUUCCUGUCCCAAGUGCUAGGUUAAUAGAGGACCCAAGUUUGAUUUCCAGCACCCACAUCUGACAGCUCACAACCACCUGCAACUCCAGCCCCAGGGAAUCGGAUCAAAUGCCUUCCUCUUCUGGCUUCUGGAAGCUCUUCCGUGCGGGUGACUCACACAUGAACCCCGUAAAAAGUCGAGAACUAUAGAGGAAAACAAUUAGCUUCAACAUACACGCCCCAAAGAGAACAAGUGCAUAUACAAUGUACACAUAUAAAUAAAUAAAUAAAUAAAAUUACGAUACAGUA
This is a long non-coding RNA of Psammomys obesus (fat sand rat), 1173 nucleotides long. RefSeq lists it as uncharacterized. The transcript has 5 exons. Lineage: Eukaryota; Metazoa; Chordata; Mammalia; Rodentia; Muridae. The record is from RefSeq and is a predicted model, not a curated record.